GCCAAGUCGAGCGCAGGAAGCUGACGGAACUCUUCGGAGGGAAGGCAGUGGAAUGCGCGGCGGACGGGUGAGUAACACGUAAGGAACCUGCCUCAAGGAUUGGGAUAACUCCGAGAAAUCGGAGCUAAUACCGGAUAGUUCAACGGACCGCAUGGUCCGCUGAUGAAAGGCGCUCCGGCGUCACCUUGAGAUGGCCUUGCGGUGCAUUAGCUAGUUGGUGGGGUAACGGCCCACCAAGGCGACGAUGCAUAGCCGACCUGAGAGGGUGAUCGGCCACACUGGGACUGAGACACGGCCCAGACUCCUACGGGAGGCAGCAGUAGGGAAUCUUCCACAAUGGACGAAAGUCUGAUGGAGCAACGCCGCGUGAGUGAUGAAGGUUUUCGGAUCGUAAAACUCUGUUGUAAGGGAAGAACACGUACGAGAGGGAAUGCUCGUACCUUGACGGUACCUUACGAGAAAGCCACGGCUAACUACGUGCCAGCAGCCGCGGUAAUACGUAGGUGGCAAGCGUUGUCCGGAAUUAUUGGGCGUAAAGCGCGCGCAGGCGGCCUCUUAAGUCUGAUGUGAAAGCCCCCGGCUCAACCGGGGAGGGCCAUUGGAAACUGGGAGGCUUGAGUACAGAAAAGAAGAGUGGAAUUCCACGUGUAGCGG
This 654-nucleotide ribosomal RNA is filed under the name uncultured Exiguobacterium sp. Its description in RNAcentral is "bacterial SSU rRNA". It matches the Rfam family "Bacterial small subunit ribosomal RNA", at positions 57 to 681 of the family's 1533-position model. The record is from RNAcentral. Lineage: Bacteria; Bacillati; Bacillota; Bacilli; Caryophanales.